This 254-nucleotide ribosomal RNA is filed under the name uncultured bacterium. Its description in RNAcentral is "partial 16S ribosomal RNA". It matches the Rfam family "Bacterial small subunit ribosomal RNA", at positions 524 to 776 of the family's 1533-position model. The record is from RNAcentral.
UACAGAGGGUGCAAGCAUUGUCCGGAAUGAUUGGGCGUAAAGCGUCUGUAGGUGGUUUUUAAAGUCGACUGUCAAAUCCCAGAGCUCAACUUUGGACAGGCAGUCGAGGACUUAAGAGCUUGAGUGUGGUAGGGGUAGAGGGAAUUCCUUGUGGAGCGGUGAAAUGCACAGAGAUAAGGAAGAACACCAGUGGCGAAGGCGCUCUACUAGGCCACGACUGACACUGAGAGAAGACAGCUGGGGGAGCGAAUAGG